This 468-nucleotide ribosomal RNA is filed under the name uncultured bacterium. RNAcentral's name for it is "partial 16S ribosomal RNA". It matches the Rfam family "Bacterial small subunit ribosomal RNA", at positions 28 to 507 of the family's 1533-position model. The record is from RNAcentral.
GACGAACGCUGGCGGCGUGCUUAACACAUGCAAGUCGAACGGAAAGGCCCUGCUUUUGUUGGGUGCUCGAGUGGCGAACGGGUGAGUAACACGUGAGUAACCUGCCCUUGACUUUCGGAUAACUUUAGGAAACUGGGGCUAUUACCCGAUAUGACCUCCUGCUGCAUGUGGUUGGUUGGAAAGUUUCGGCGGUUUGGGAUGGACUCGCGGCUUAUCAGCUUGUUGGUGGGGUAGUGGCUUACCAAGGCUUUGACGGGUAGCCGGCAUGAGAGGGUUACCGGCCACAUUGGGACUGCGAGACGGCGCAGAAGCCUACGGGAGGCAGUAGUGGGGAAUCUUGCACAAUGGGCGGAAGCCUGAUGCAGCAACGCCGCGUGCGGGAUGACGGGCUUCGGGUUGUAAACCGAUUUCGCCUGUGACGAAGAGUGAGUGACGGUAAUGGGUAAAGAAGCAACGGCUAACUACGUG